CGUAGGGGGCGAGCGUUGUCCGGAUUCAUUGGGCGUAAAGAGCUCGUAGGCGGUUCAGUAAGUCGGGUGUGAAAGCUCCGAGCUCAACUCGGAGAAGCCACCCGAUACUGCUGUGACUUGAGUCCAGUAGAGGAGCGUGGAACUCCUGGUGUAGCGGUGGAAUGCGCAGAUAUCAGGAAGAACACCUGCAGCGAAGGCGGCGCUCUGGGCUGGAACUGACGCUGAGGAGCGAAAGCGUGGGUAGCAA
This 247-nucleotide ribosomal RNA is filed under the name uncultured bacterium. RNAcentral describes it as "partial 16S ribosomal RNA". It matches the Rfam family "Bacterial small subunit ribosomal RNA", at positions 526 to 771 of the family's 1533-position model. The record is from RNAcentral.